RNAcentral lists this small RNA (152 nucleotides) under Paenibacillus sp. Its description in RNAcentral is "c-di-AMP sequence". It matches the Rfam family "c-di-AMP riboswitch aptamer (ydaO/yuaA leader)". Rfam says of the family: This family represents a conserved RNA structure found upstream of the ydaO and yuaA genes in Bacillus subtilis and related genes in other bacteria. The ydaO/yuaA element is thought to act as a genetic "off" switch for the ydaO and yuaA genes in its native state. RNAcentral also lists the same sequence under 1 other name. The record is from RNAcentral. Lineage: Bacteria; Bacillati; Bacillota; Bacilli; Caryophanales; Paenibacillaceae.
UGGAUGACAUUGCCUAAUUCCCAAUCGGGAAACGGGGGAACCACUCUGGGUGAAUUGACUUCGACGUCUGGUGUUCUACAGCGCCUGAGAAGUCAUAGGGAACCUUCAACCGAACCCCACAGCUAACCUCGUCGGCACCGGAAGGAGAACCA